UACGUAGGGUGCAAGCGUUAAUCGGAAUUACUGGGCGUAAAGCGUGCGCAGGCGGUUUUGUAAGUCUGUCGUGAAAGCCCCGGGCUCAACCUGGGAAUUGCGGUGGAGACUGCAAGGCUUGAAUCUGGCAGAGGGGGGUAGAAUUCCACGUGUAGCAGUGAAAUGCGUAGAGAUGUGGAGGAACACCGAUGGCGAAGGCAGCCCCCUGGGUCAAGAUUGACGCUCAUGCACGAAAGCGUGGGGAGCAAACAGG
This 253-nucleotide ribosomal RNA is filed under the name uncultured bacterium. RNAcentral describes it as "partial 16S ribosomal RNA". It matches the Rfam family "Bacterial small subunit ribosomal RNA", at positions 524 to 776 of the family's 1533-position model. The record is from RNAcentral.